RNAcentral lists this long non-coding RNA (2001 nucleotides) under Helianthus annuus (common sunflower). Its description in RNAcentral is "hypothetical non coding rna". The record is from RNAcentral. Lineage: Eukaryota; Viridiplantae; Streptophyta; Magnoliopsida; Asterales; Asteraceae.
UAAUCGAAAGCGAAGACGACGUCGGAGCAAACGCAAAACAAAACGUCCCAGACGAGUCAACCGGUAUCAAAUAAUUCUUAGCCGGUAAAUCCAGUUUCUUCCCGUUAGUAAAAUGAAACGACACCGUUGGCACCUGCACACUCUUCCUUUUAGACAAAUCAUAACAAGUAUCAAACAACGCCACACCGGUUGCCGCCGGUAACUCCUUCGUCCCCUUCGUAAACGCAUCUCGCAACACGUUAUACGCUUCCGUCUGCAACCGAGUAAUCGCCGUACCGGAGUCAACAAUCACACCGGAGUUACCGUCGUUAGUCAACUUAAACGUCGAUGACGGAAUAUUCAACAGCUGACCAGCAACACUUAUACCUGUUAAUCCGAUAUAGUAAAACGUGUCAAGCUUUGAGUUACGUAACAACGGAGCGGUUAUCGCGUCGUGAGGAAUCGGUGAGUUGAACUCGAGAGUUGACGCCGAGUCGGAAUCGCGGUCCACAAGGCAGUAAGAGUAUGACGUGGCGUUUAUUUGUGACGGAAAUGAUAACCGUCCACCGCCUAAUCCGAUUAAUCCGGCAGCUCCGACGAAUAAUCCUUCGUUGUUAUGUCCACAUCCGAUGGCGAUAUUCUCAACGGUUGUAGAUCCUUGAAGCGUUAGCGUCUCCGUCACGAAAUCUCCGACGGUGUAGGAUCCGUCGCCGUACGACACUUCGUACAGGCACGUGCCGUUUCUGCACUCCGAAACGUCUAGAGAUUUGCACUGGUGAGCGUCGCACGUGAGAGGAGAAUACGAAGAGGAUGAAGCCGGCUCGAAAAUAGGAUCGGCUUGCUGGUAGCAAUCGGCGCAUGGUGCGCAUUGUAGCCAGUUGACGUCACUUCCGGUGUCUAGCACCAUAUAAGCUUGACUCGCUGGAUGACCGAUUCCGACUCGGCAGAAAUACUCUCCGCUUCCUUGACUCGUACCGGAAACAACCGGAACUUCUAAAUUUUCAACCGAAAGCUCAGUGUCAACCGGUUUCAGAUCUGACUUCUUGACGCCGUUUACAGCUAGAUCUAACCUCGUUUGAAGCGACUCAACUCGCGCUGAGUCACGAGCGAGUCGAGCUAGCGUAACUGACUUAUAACUUUUGUGUGAGGAUUUGUGAACGGCGACUCGAGAAUGCAGUUGCAGAGACAGAAUCGAAGAGGAAGAAGAUGAAGAAGAAAGUUCAGAUGACGUCAGCAUUUGAGAUUGUUGAGGUUGAGGUGAGAAUGAUAACACAUUGAGAGAUUUCUGGAUUGAGUCGGUGACGUCGAGCUCCGAUGUGGAUACGGUGGUGGCUGGUGAGAUGGUGCGGGGGUGAACGGUGGAGAAUGCGAAGGUGAAGAGGAUACAGAGGAGAUGAAACCCUAAUUUCGCCAUUGAAGAGUGUGGAGUGAAGAGUGAGGAAGGGGAAAGGUGGAUAUAUAGAGGGGAAAUACGUUGAUGAUUAUUAUUAUAUUAAGAUUUAAAGGUGUCAUUCUCGUUGAUUUGUUGCUUAAAAUCUAUUUCUUUGCGUUGGUCAAACAAAUUUUUGCGCGAUUAUCGAUUAAUUACUAGUUUAAUCCAUUUGAUUUUGACACUUGUUACUUUUUCUUUUUUCUUCGUAUUUUUAUAUUUAACGUUUUCUUCACAUUUUUUUUAUUUAACAAAGGAAUACAUGUAUGUUAACUUAACUGUUACUAGGGGUUAUUGUAGUCACGCCACACGGUUAAAACAGAGCAAAUAAUAAUAUAAAACAAAUGUGAUUUGAAAAUGAAACAUGUUAUUUAGAAAGCCAAAUUGUCAGAAUUGAUUUGUUUUAUCAUUGUACCGUGCAACGAUACCAACUAAAUACUCUCUUUUGAAUGCAAUUUCAUUUUAACAAAACUUAUACCGGAAUGUUGCGAGAAAAAAAUUAAAAACAACUACGUACUUAAGUUUUUAGAGAAAAGAAUUAACUAACGUAAGCUACUACAGAAUUAAUUGAUAAAGAAAAUAUAAUUUAAUAA